GCGUGUGUGAUGAAGGCCCUAGGGUCGUAAAGCACUUUCGCCAGAGAUGAUAAUGACAGUAUCUGGUAAAGAAACCCCGGCUAACUCCGUGCCAGCAGCCGCGGUAAUACGGAGGGGGUUAGCGUUGUUCGGAAUUACUGGGCGUAAAGCGCACGUAGGCGGAUUAGUAAGUUAGAGGUGAAAUCCCAGGGCUCAACCCUGGAACUGCCUUUAAUACUGCUAGUCUUGAGUUCGAGAGAGGUAAGUGGAAUUCCGAGUGUAGAGGUGAAAUUCGUAGAUAUUCGGAGGAACACCAGUGGCGAAGGCGGCUUACUGGCUCGAUACUGACGCUGAGGUGCGAAAGUGUGGGGAGCAAACAGGAUUAGAUACCCUGGUAGUCCACACCGUAAACGAUGAAUGCCAGACGUCAGCAAGUAUACUUGUUGGUGUCACACCUAACGGAUUAAGCAUUCCGCCUGGGGAGUACGGUCGCAAGAUUA
RNAcentral lists this ribosomal RNA (479 nucleotides) under uncultured Alphaproteobacteria bacterium. RNAcentral's name for it is "bacterial SSU rRNA". It matches the Rfam family "Bacterial small subunit ribosomal RNA", at positions 399 to 896 of the family's 1533-position model. Lineage: Bacteria; Pseudomonadati; Pseudomonadota; Alphaproteobacteria. The record is from RNAcentral.